Molecule: long non-coding RNA, 1479 nt
Organism: Oxyura jamaicensis (ruddy duck)
Lineage: Eukaryota; Metazoa; Chordata; Aves; Anseriformes; Anatidae
Exons: 2
Source: RefSeq, a predicted model, not a curated record
UUGUGCCUCGUUUCCAGGGACUGGAGGGGUCCCAGAUAUUGCCUGUGGCUCCAGGGGGCUCGUCAGCUCAGCCUGCCCACAAACGCCUGGCUCAGAGACCUCAGCUCCACCCUUUCCUUCUGUGCCGAGCUCUGUGCUGUUCCCACUGACAUGCAGUGAUUGACAUACAGGAAGCUAAAAACACCGGGGCAGACGUAGCCCGAAAGCUGCUCGGAAAUUGUUUUAAUGUUCUUUUUCCACCUAAGGAGAGCAUUUUCGUAAGACUCUGGAGAAUGUCUUCCCUGCCACCGAUUUCCUACGUGACUUGGAGCUGCUGCCCCGAAAAGCCAGCCACGAGUGAAAAUAAUGUGGGGAGAUGGAUCCAAGCUGGGGUGAAUGCCCCUUACUGCAGAACCAGCGUCUGCCCAAGAAGCUCGACAGCAAACCACGUGUCACCAUCUCUGCUGGAGAUCCAGGUCUCUCCACCAUCAGCGCCGAUAAUACCCAACACAUUUUGUGUUAGGUUUUAGGAACAUAUUCUCUGUUUCUGGUGUCUGGCACCCCAGUCAUCCUCCUCUUCUUUCUCUGCAUUUUGGAGGAAGCCCUACUAACACACAUAGAUCAGCACAGACAACUGGGUGACCUGACCAGCACAAGGACAGGGUCAGAGUCAUUAAUACCUGGCGCAGUGAGUAAGAAACUCACGGGGGACAAGGCAGAGCCACUGCCUGGCCUUGUAACACCUUAUUUACACAAAGCAGCUACAAGUCACAGAAGGCAAAGGAGAAAAAAGGCAUUUUAUGGAUGGGACGUUGCUGGACACAUCAGCCAGGCAGUGUGCUUGAGGAAAUACCCCCAGCCUCUUCUGAGCCCCCUAUGUGUGCAGGGGCCAGCUGUCUUUGUAGCCCUCCCCUGGAAACUGGGGACUUGCCUUUGCCCUGGCGGGUGGGUGAGCACAGUGAUGUGAUGGCUAGCGGAUGUUUAUUAGCUAGCAGUCUCUGAGCACUUCCCAUAUUUCACAUUGUACUGGAGAGGACUGAUUUAAUUAAGGAGCAGGGAAGAGAGUCAUCUCUUGUACUCGCCUUGGCAAAACAGUUUGCUUCUGUGCACCAGCUCUCCCAGCAGCCAGUGUCCCAUAGGGAUCGGUCUGGGAGCACGCAGAUCCCCUCUGCCUCAUUUUCUCAUUAAUUCCUAAUAAAAAGUGUCAGCAACAGCACAGCUCAGAGCCUCCCAGGCUCUCAGAGAACAUUUUAUUGUACUUAUCCCUGAAGUUUACACAUACACAAAGCACAAGAUCGGCGCUCACCGAGUUUAGACACUUCUCCAGAACAGCAAUGAGCAAGUUCUGUUGUUGUGAGCACUUCAGAGAUGCCAGGCAGAUAAAAUCAGUUUGUUUUUAAAACAAAGAUGAUAACGCUGGGCCAGAAAUGCCCUCCUUAGGGAAACAACAGAUAUGGAUCUGUUGUGGUCUUGAGGUCAUUUAGAGAUGAUGUCACAUCU